CGAACGCUGGCGGCGUGCCUAAUACAUGCAAGUAGAACGCUGAAGAGAGGAGCUUGCUCUUCUUGGAUGAGUUGCGAACGGGUGAGUAACGCGUAGGUAACCUGCCUUGUAGCGGGGGAUAACUAUUGGAAACGAUAGCUAAUACCGCAUAACAAUGGAUGACCCAUGUCAUUUAUUUGAAAGGGGCAAAUGCUCCACUACAAGAUGGACCUGCGUUGUAUUAGCUAGUAGGUGAGGUAACGGCUCACCUAGGCGACGAUACAUAGCCGACCUGAGAGGGUGAUCGGCCACACUGGGACUGAGACACGGCCCAGACUCCUACGGGAGGCAGCAGUAGGGAAUCUUCGGCAAUGGGGGCAACCCUGACCGAGCAACGCCGCGUGAGUGAAGAAGGUUUUCGGAUCGUAAAGCUCUGUUGUAAGUCAAGAACGAGUGUGAGAGUGGAAAGUUCACACUGUGACGGUAGCUUACCAGAAAGGGACGGCUAACUACGUG
RNAcentral lists this ribosomal RNA (495 nucleotides) under uncultured bacterium. Its description in RNAcentral is "partial 16S ribosomal RNA". It matches the Rfam family "Bacterial small subunit ribosomal RNA", at positions 30 to 507 of the family's 1533-position model. The record is from RNAcentral.